CAGCCGCCUAGAACCGCGGACUUGACCCCGCGCAUGCCCGGACUCUCCCAGCCUUAUAUAAUCUGACCGCUCUCGAUUAACCGUGUCGUGCGCCAUUGACGAGGAGAGAGAGAAGCGGGGACCACCAUUGAUGCAUCGUGAGCGCAGGAGAGAGAGAUGCAAGAAGAGAGAAAAUAGAGCUGGGCCACUGCGAGGGAGUCCUGGAUCACCAUCGAUCUGAGUCAAGCACGCGGCCAGAAAGAUCCCCGACGAGAAUAACUGAAUGUGAGGACCUGGGAUUUGUUCAUCAGCGAUUGCCGCUGCUGUGUGUCCGCCCCUCAUCGAGGCCUCCUCUAACCGUCGCUUAAUCACAGGUAAAAAGUCCCUAAAUGCAUUCGCGACACCUUAAUCUUCGUGUUCCCGUCGGUAAUUGGAUCUGCGUGAGCCUGCGUACUAGUUUGGUAUGUCGCCGUGGAGUGCCGCGCCGCCGGGUGUGUCGUGCGGGCCACUACUGCUGGGGGCUGAGAAGGAAGACGAUGGGAGAAACGUCGAUUUCUGGUGGAGGGCUCAGAUUGAACGCUGCGUACACCCCUUCGCUGGUUUGAUCUGAGCGGUUGGUUCCGAUCGGACGGACCUGGUGUGAUCACGGUUAUUUAAAAUAUAGGCCGUUGAUCUGGCCAGGGACGGAUACGAUUAGACUGGGCGCUUACCUCUUCGUUGGUUGAGUAUGUACUGUUGAUCUAUAAUCUAACGGUUGUGAUGCGCGCGGGGUUAGGCAGCCGAGCCAGCUUUACGUAAGAGCCCUCGAGAUUUAAGGUAAUAAACCCGCCGUCCAUUUUUUUAGUAUAAAGAAAGUAAAAUUAAAUGAAGACUUUGCGUUUUAGCCCAUGGGGUUUGUUUUUAGGCACAAAAUUGAUACAAAUAUGCACAAAAGCUAAGAAAAUCCAUAUCUUGCUCAUGUUAACUCCAUUUUAGUCCGUUUAAGUUGCGUUAGCUUCGUAAUAAAAUUAUCUACACUUUGGUAACCUUAUUUUAUCAUGAAACAUGUUUGUAAAUAAUUAAUUUGUUUACCCUAUGUUCAUUGGAUUAACUUCUUUAUUUAAAAUUAAAGUAAAAUUUUCGCUUCCUAGUUGUAAUUUGACUUAAAUAUGUUUUCUAAUCAAGUUAUAACUUGGGUUAAAAUUAAAUUAAUGGUUUCUUAGGAAUAUAUUUCUCACGUGAUUUAUAAUAAUCAACCUAGAACCUAGUUUUCCUGUUUAAUCACAUAAACCUUCGGAAAAUCAUAACUUUAUAACCGUAGCUCCUAAUUUAGCAAUUCUCGAGCCCGCGAUCUCAUAGCUUCGCGUAGAUUAUUAUUACACAGUUUAUUCUUAUAUUUGGUGUGAUGUUAAUUUUGUCUAUACCAUGUUUGUUUGUAUUGCUACGACUAGCGUGAGGUCACGAGUCACCUGAAGAUCAUCCUGGUACCUGGAAUCUCAAGUCCCAGGCAAGUUGUGCCCUUGAUCACUUCUUUUACCCACUCAUAUUCUAAUUAAUCAUAAUGAUCUGCAUAGGUUAAUUUGAUGGGACCUAAUAGGUUACCCUAGUUUGUCUAUCUUUAUGCCUUGUUUACCACUAAACUUUCUGGGUAGUACUUGCUAGUGCUAUAUGUGGAUUUGGGCAUUGAGAUACAUAUUAUUCAUACUUUUGUUAUCAGUUGCUAUUUACUGUUCAUGAUAAGAUCAUUCUGUUAAUUGGAACAUGGAGAACCACCCGGGAAAACAGUGCUACCACAAGGGUUUAAUGGGACGCCCUUGGCCGAUUAAUUAGGAAAGCUAGUGGAAGACUACCUUACCCGAAAGGGGCAAGGGCAGUAGGGGAGUGGUCAGUGUAGGGAGGCCCUCGGGAGGAUUUUGCUGCGAUGGCGGUCCUGCAAGGGAUUCCUGCAUUGGAGCUUCCUAUAAACUGUAGCGGGUUUUCUGAAGCUAGUGGAACUUUGUAAAGGCCUCGUAGUGUUACCCUGCCUCGCCUCCUCGAUAGAGGUGUAUGGGAAGUCGCGAUCCCUUGGCAGAUGGGUAACAUGACUUGUGGGUAAAGAUGCGCAACCUCUACAGAGUGUAAAACUGGUAUACUAGCCGUGCUCACGGUCAUGAGCAGCUCGGACACUCACAUGAUUAAAUUAUGAAACUUAAACUCAAUUUGUCAUAUGCAUUGCAUCGCAGGUGAGGUUGUUACUUUUGUUCUGCUACUUAAUUGGGUUGGUAUUUACUUAUACUUAGUAAUUGCUAAUAAAAUUUUGACCAACAUUAAAAGCAAUGCUCAGCUUCAACCAUCCUCUUUGGUAAGCCUUACACUUCACGUGAGCUCCCACCUUUGGCGAGUUCAUGCACAUUAUUCCCCACAACUUGUUGAGCUAUGAACGUAUGUGAGCUCACUCUUGCUGUCUCACACCCCCCCACAGGUCAAGAACAGGUACCGCAGGAUGAGGCACAUGGAGGAUGCUGUGAUGAGUUCGUGAGAGAGAUCUAGGCCGUCGUCUCCCAGUCAACUUUGGGUUGCUGGACCGUUGUCUCCUUUUGAUGUAAUUAUUUAUUGAUUUUGUAUAGAACUCUUGUUAUAUAGUAAAUAUGUGACAUUCGAUCCUGUGCCACUAUACAUCAUAUGUGUGAGACUUGGUCCCAGCACACCUGGUGUUUAUGUUCGCGCCCGGGUCUUGGUGCCCCGAAACCCGGGUGUGACAGAAGUGGUAUCAGAGGAAUGUUGACUGUAGGACGAAACCUAGAUAGAACCAGAUAACCAUUAUCUACUUACCUUUGCUACUCUGAUUCUUUUCUAAACUUUUCUUAAUCUUUUCUCAUCUAUUUCCGCUUUACUCUGAUUAUUCUUACCUUUUCCUUCUAAAGACAAAUGUGGAUUUCACACUUUGAAAUCCUGUGCCUAAAGUGACCUUUAGGAAUAGGAGACCUACUCUUAGGAACAAAAACAAAACUAUUUUUGUAGGUAUCUAUGUGCUUCAAUGUUUGUUCUUGUGAUACUUGUUUGAUUUGGAUCUUUGGUUGAGUGUGAGUAAUGUCCACGAUUACAUCUGCAUGUACAUAAUGCUUAUAAAACUAACUAGACAAAUUAGAUUAUUCCUCAUUAAUGUAGCUAGCCUAACAAUAUCUAUCUCAUCUUAAAAGAUUCUAUCCUACACUCAUAGAUCCAUCUCCUCUCAAAAGAUCCUAACUUAUCCUAAUCUAGCUUAAUAGAUUUACCUUAUCUUAAGAGAUACUCUAUUGUCUUAAUAGAAUCAUCCUAUCUUGAAAAAGAUUUCAUGUCAUCCUAAUAGAUCUAACUGACCUCAAAAGAUUCUACGUUAUCCUUAGGGACUUAUCUUGCCCUAAUUAGCGUAUUUAUCCCACUCUAGAAUAACCACCAUGAGCUAACCCAACCAAUAGAUUCUUGAUGGAUUGCAUAAUCUGUCUACCCUCACUUGACAACAAACAAGCUUUUGACCUACAUCAUGCACUCUAUCUCAUCCAUAACUAUCUUAACCACAUUUCCCCAACUCCAAUGAUAUACACUGACCUCGAAUCAAUGAGACCAAGACCAGAAAAGGACAAGAUCAACCUCGUCAAGAAAGGAGAGAAGUCAAACUUGAUCUUUAGAUGCAUUACCAUCCAACACGGAGUUCUUCUCACCAUAAACUGUCUUACCCUAGGCUAUUCUUGCCCUAACCUUCCUAUCUUUUAUCUUACAUAAUAAUGUGGUUAUACUCAUGCAUACCCAUGCUCUCCUAAUCACCCACCAAUGAUUACGAAAGAAAAUACCCUUCAUUCUUGAUCUAAUUAAAAAUUAAAAGCUAAAAUCACAAACCAAUUCUUUUGUAUCCCUUCUUCUAACAAAUCUCAAGGACGAGAUUUUUGUUAAGGGGGGUAGAAUUUGUAACACCUCAAAAUAAUGUUUUUGUGAACCGAGAAGCUCUUCAAAAUAUUUGGAUUGAAAUGUCUUUUAAACAAGAAUUGUAUUAUCUUUGGAAUCAUUUUCUUAAAAGAAAUAAAUGAUAAUAUUAUAUUAUUCAAAGCUAGAUUAGAUCUAGAAUACUAGAAUUUGACUUCAAAAUUCAUAAAAUAAACAAACAUGAAGAUUUUCAUUUAUUUAUAUGAGUGAAUUGUUUUUUGGAUUAUGUAUUCGCAUCUAUUCAAAAAAUGGAUAAAAUAAUUACUAUAAUUUUUUUAUUACAUCCCAUGCUAAGAUUUUUGUCGAAGCAUCUAAAUUGUAUUUGAAAUUUAAAACCAAAUCUGAAAUUGAAUAUAAAAUUAAAAAAAUAAAACAUAAACAAGUAGAAAAAAAAGAAACUAACAGCACCUGUUUGUUUUCCCAGCCGGCCCACACCCGCUAUGGUCAUGCACGACAUGUGCAUGGUGUGUUUUCGUUUUUCUUUCUUUUAUUUAUCUUAUUCUCUUUUCUCUAUUAUUUAUUCCUCCCAUCACGCACAACGUCAUGUAUGCUUUCUCCAAAUCGCUGCUCGCGAUGGCCGCGCGGGAGAUCCUGAAAUCACUUGCGUCGAUCUCGCUCGCCCAACUGAAUCCUCACCAGCCGCCUAGAACCGCGGACUUGACCCCGCGCAUGCCCGGACUCUCCCAGCCUUAUAUAAUCCGACCGCUCUCGAUUAACCGUGCCGUGCGCCAUUGACGAGGAGAGAGAAGCGGGGACCACCAUUGAUGCAUCGUGAGCGCAGGAGAGAGAGAUGCAAGAAGAGAGAAAAUAGAGCUGGGCCACUGCGAGGGAGUCCUGGAUCACCAUCGAUCUGAGUCAAGCACGCGGCCAGAAAGAUCCCCGACGAGAAUAACUGAAUGCGAGGACCUGGGAUUUGUUCAUCAGCGAUUGCUGCUGCUGUGUGUCCGCCCCUCAUCGAGGCCUCCUCUAACCGUCGCUUAAUCACAGGUAAAAAGUCCCUAAAUGCAUUCGCGACACCUUAAUCUUCGUGUUCCCGUCGGUAAUUGGAUCUGCGUGAGCCUGCGUACUAGUUUGGUAUGUCGCCGUGGAGUGCCACGCCGCCGGGUGUGUCGUGCGGGCCACUGCUGCUGGGGGCUGAGAAGGAAGACGAUGGGAGAAACGUCGAUUUCUGGUGGACGGCUCAGAUUGAACGCUGCGUACACCCCUUCGCUGGUUUGAUCUGAGCGGUUGGUUCCGAUCGGACGGACCUGGUGUGAUCACGGUUAUUUAAAAUAUAGGCCGUUGAUCUGGCCAGGGACGGAUACGAUUAGACUGGACGCUUACCUCUUCGUUGGUUGAGUAUGUACUGUUGAUCUAUGAUCUAACGGUUGUGAUGCGCGCGGGGUUAGGCAGCCGAGCCAGCUUUACGUAAGAGCCCUCGAGAUUUAAGGUAAUAAACCCGCCGUCCAUUUUUUUAGUAUAAAGAAAGUAAAAUUAAAUGAAGACUUUGCGUUUUAGCCCAUGGGGUUUGUUUUUAGGCACAAAAUUGAUACAAAUAUGCACAAAAGCUAAGAAAAUCCAUAUCUUGCUCAUGUUAACUCCUUUUUAGUCCGUUCAAGUUGCGUUAGCUUCGUAAUAAAAUUAUCUACACUUUGGUAACCUUAUUUUAUCAUGAAACAUGUUUGUAAAUAAUUAAUUUGUUUACCCUAUGUUCAUUGGAUUAACUUCUUUAUUUAAAAUUAAAGUAAAAUUUCCGCUUCCUAGUUGUAAUUUGACUUAAAUAUGUUUUCUAAUCAAGUUAUAACUUGGGUUAAAAUUAAAUUAAUGGUUUCUUAGGAAUAUAUUUCUCACGUGAUUUAUAAUAAUCAACCUAGAACCUAGUUUUCCUGUUUAAUCACAUAAACCUUCGGAAAAUCAUAACUUUAUAACCGUAGCUCCUAAUUUAGCAAUUCUCGAGCCCGCGAUCUCAUAGCUUCGCGUAGAUUAUUAUUACACAGUUUAUUCUUAUAUUUGGUGUGAUGUUAAUUUUGCCUAUACCAUGUUUGUUUGUAUUGCUACGACUAGCGUGAGGUCACGAGUCACCUGAAGAUCAUCCUGGUACCUGGAAUCUCAAGUCCCAGGCAAGUUGUGCCCUUGAUCACUUCUUUUACCCACUCAUGUUCUAAUUAAUCAUAAUGAUCUGCAUAGGUUAAUUUGAUGGGACCUAAUAGGUUACCCUAGUUUGUCUAUCUUUAUGCCUUGUUUACCACUAAACUUUCUGGGUAGUACUUGCUAGUGCUAUAUGUGGUUUUGGGCAUUGAGAUACAUAUUAUUCAUACUUUUGUUAUCAGUUGCUAUUUACUGUUCAUGAUAAGAUCAUUCUGUUAAUUGGAACAUGGAGAACCACCCGGGAAAACAGUGCUACCACAAGGGUUUAAUGGGACGCCCUUGGCCGAUUAAUUAGGAAAGCUAGUGGAAGACUACCUUACCCGAAAGGGGCAAGGGUAGUAGGGGAGUGGUCAGUGUAGGGAGGCCCUCGGGAGGAUUUUGCUACGAUGGCGGUCCUGCAAGGGAUUCCUGCAUUGGAGCUUCCUAUAAACUGUAGCGGGUUUUCUGAAGCUAGUGGAACUUUGUAAAGGCCUCGUAGUGUUACCCUGCCUCGCCUCCUCGGUAGAGGUGUAUGGGAAGUCGCGAUCCCUUGGCAGAUGGGUAACAUGACUUGUGGGUAAAGAUGCGUAACCUCUGCAGAGUGUAAAACUGGUAUACUAGCCGUGCUCACGGUCAUGAGCAGCUCGGACACUCACAUGAUUAAAUUAUGAAACUUAAACUCAAUUUGUCAUAUGCAUUGCAUCGCAGGUGAGGUUGUUACUUUUGUUCUGCUACUUAAUUGGGUUGGUAUUUACUUAUACUUAGUAAUUGCUAAUAAAAUUUUGACCAACAUUAAAAGCAAUGCUCAGCUUCAACCAUCCUCUUUGGUAAGCCUUACACUUCACGUGAGCUCCCACCUUUGGCGAGUUCAUGCACAUUAUUCCCCACAACUUGUUGAGCUAUGAACGUAUGUGAGCUCACUCUUGCUGUCUCACACCCCCCACAGGUCAAGAACAGGUACCGCAGGAUGAGGCGCAUGGAGGAUGCUGUGAUGAGUUCGUGAGAGAGAUCUAGGCCGUCGUCUCCCAGUCAACUUUGGGUUGCUGGACCGUUGUCUCCUUUUGAUGUAAUUAUUUAUUGAUUUUGUAUAGAACUCUUGUUAUAU
This 7108-nucleotide long non-coding RNA is filed under the name Zea mays. RNAcentral describes it as "long non-coding RNA (ZMAY_LNC005622)". The record is from RNAcentral. Lineage: Eukaryota; Viridiplantae; Streptophyta; Magnoliopsida; Poales; Poaceae.